AGUGAACGCUGGCGGUAGGCCUAACACAUGCAAGUCGAGCGGCAGCACAGUAAGAGCUUGCUCUUACGGGUGGCGAGUGGCGGACGGGUGAGGAAUACAUCGGAAUCUACUUUUUCGUGGGGGAUAACGUAGGGAAACUUACGCUAAUACCGCAUACGACCUACGGGUGAAAGCAGGGGAUCUUCGGACCUUGCGCGAUUGAAUGAGCCGAUGUCGGAUUAGCUAGUUGGCGGGGUAAAGGCCCACCAAGGCGACGACCCGUAGCUGGUCUGAGAGGAUGAUCAGCCACACUGGAACUGAGACACGGUCCAGACUCCUACGGGAGGCAGCAGUGGGGAAUAUUGGACAAUGGGCGCAAGCCUGAUCCAGCCAUACCGCGUGGGUGAAGAAGGCCUUCGGGUUGUAAAGCCCUUUUGUUGGGAAAGAAAAGCAGCAGGUUAAUACCCCGCUGUUCUGACGGUACCCAAAGAAUAAGCACCGGCUAACUUCGUG
Molecule: ribosomal RNA, 492 nt
Filed under: uncultured bacterium
Lineage: Bacteria
Description: partial 16S ribosomal RNA
Rfam family: Bacterial small subunit ribosomal RNA
Source: RNAcentral